GCCGGGGUACCCGAGUGGUCAAAGGGGGUGGAUUCAAGCUCCUCUGCAUAAUGCUUCGCAGGUUCAAAUCCUGUCCCCGGCACCA
This 85-nucleotide transfer RNA is filed under the name Methanobacteriota archaeon. RNAcentral's name for it is "Euryarchaeota archaeon tRNA-Leu". It matches the Rfam family "tRNA". From Rfam's summary of the family: Transfer RNA (tRNA) molecules are approximately 80 nucleotides in length. The record is from RNAcentral. Lineage: Archaea; Methanobacteriati; Methanobacteriota. RNAcentral also lists the same sequence under 1 other name.